UACGGAGGGCGCAAGCGUUAUCCGGAUUUACUGGGUUUAAAGGGUGCGUAGGCGGGCUUUUAAGUCAGCGGUGAAAUCUUCGGGCUCAACCCGAAAAUUGCCGUUGAUACUAUUAGUCUUGAAUUAAGUUGAGGUGGGCGGAAUGUGUCAUGUAGCGGUGAAAUGCUUAGAUAUGACACAGAACACCGAUUGCGAAGGCAGCUCGCUAAACUUAUAUUGACGCUGAGGCACGAAAGCGUGGGGAUCAAACAGG
Molecule: ribosomal RNA, 253 nt
Filed under: uncultured bacterium
Lineage: Bacteria
Description: partial 16S ribosomal RNA
Rfam family: Bacterial small subunit ribosomal RNA
Source: RNAcentral